This 975-nucleotide ribosomal RNA is filed under the name Shigella sonnei. Its description in RNAcentral is "partial 23S ribosomal RNA". It matches the Rfam family "Bacterial large subunit ribosomal RNA", at positions 1 to 1007 of the family's 2925-position model. The record is from RNAcentral. Lineage: Bacteria; Pseudomonadati; Pseudomonadota; Gammaproteobacteria; Enterobacterales; Enterobacteriaceae.
GGGUUGUGAGGUUAAGCGACUAAGCGUACACGGUGGAUGCCCUGGCAGUCAGAGGCGAUGAAGGACGUGCUAAUCUGCGAUAAGCGUCGGUAAGGUGAUAUGAACCGUUAUAACCGGCGAUUUCCGAAUGGGGAAACCCAGUGUGAUUCGUCACACUAUCAUUAACUGAAUCCAUAGGUUAAUGAGGCGAACCGGGGGAACUGAAACAUCUAAGUACCCCGAGGAAAAGAAAUCAACCGAGAUUCCCCCAGUAGCGGCGAGCGGACGGGGAGCAGCCCAGAGCCUGAAUCAGUGUGUGUGUUAGUGGAAGCGUCUGGAAAGGCGUGCGAUACAGGGUGACAGCCCCGUACACAAAAAUGCACAUAUUGUGAGCUUGAUGAGUAGGGCGGGACACGUGGUAUCCUGUCUGAAUAUGGGGGGACCAUCCUCCAAGGCUAAAUACUCCUGACUGACCGAUAGUGAACCAGUACCGUGAGGGAAAGGCGAAAAGAACCCCGGCGAGGGGAGUGAAAAAGAACCUGAAACCGUGUACGUACAAGCAGUGGGAGCACGCUUAGGCGUGUGACUGCGUACCUUUUGUAUAAUGGGUCAGCGACUUAUAUUCUGUAGCAAGGUUAACCGAAUAGGGGAGCCGAAGGGAAACCGAGUCUUAACUGGGCGUUAAGUUGCAGGGUAUAGACCCGAAACCCGGUGAUCUAGCCAUGGGCAGGUUGAAGGUUGGGUAACACUAACUGGAGGACCGAACCGACUAAUGUUGAAAAAUUAGCGGAUGACUUGUGGCUGGGGGUGAAAGGCCAAUCAAACCGGGAGAUAGCUGGUUCUCCCCGAAAGCUAUUUAGGUAGCGCCUCGUGAAUUCAUCUCCGGGGGUAGAGCACUGUUUCGGCAAGGGGGUCAUCCCGACUUACCAACCCGAUGCAAACUGCGAAUACCGGAGAAUGUUAUCACGGGAGACACACGGCGGGUGCUAACGUCCG